RNAcentral lists this ribosomal RNA (645 nucleotides) under uncultured fungus. Its description in RNAcentral is "eukaryotic LSU rRNA". It matches the Rfam family "Eukaryotic large subunit ribosomal RNA", at positions 24 to 664 of the family's 3401-position model. The record is from RNAcentral. Lineage: Eukaryota; Fungi.
CCCGCUGAACUUAAGCAUAUCAAUAAGCGGAGGAAAAGAAACUAACAAGGAUUCCCCUAGUAACUGCGAGUGAAGCGGGAAAAGCUCAAAUUUAAAAUCUGUCAGUCUUUGGCUGUCCGAGUUGUAAUCUAGAGAAGUGUUAUCCGCGCUGGACCGUGUACAAGUCUCCUGGAAUGGAGCGUCAUAGAGGGUGAGAAUCCCGUCUUUGACACGGACUGCCAGGGCUUUUGUGAUGCGCUCUCAAAGAGUCGAGUUGUUUGGGAAUGCAGCUCAAAAUGGGUGGUAAAUUCCAUCUAAAGCUAAAUAUUGGCGAGAGACCGAUAGCGAACAAGUACCGUGAGGGAAAGAUGAAAAGAACUUUGGAAAGAGAGUUAAACAGUACGUGAAAUUGUUGAAAGGGAAACGCUUGAAGUCAGUCAUGUCUCACUGAAAUCAACCUGGCACUUGUCUGGUGUACUUUCUGUGGGACAGGUCAGCAUCAGUUCUGAUUGCUGGAAAAAGGCCUUGGGAAUGUGACAUCUUUUCGAAGAUGUGCUAUAGCCCUCGGACCACAUGCAGUGAUUGGGACUGAGGAACUCGAUGUGUGAAAUAACACAUUCAAGGAUGCUGGCAUAAUGGCUUUAAUCGACCCGUCUUGAAACACGG